ACGGAGGGUGCAAGCGUUAAUCGGAAUUACUGGGCGUAAAGCGCACGCAGGCGGUUUGUUAAGUCAGAUGUGAAAUCCCAGGGCUCAACCUGGGAACUGCCAUUGAUACUGGCAAUCUUGAGUCCCGUUGAGGGGGGUAGAAUUCCAGGUGUAGCGGUGAAAUGCGUAGAGAUCUGGAGGAAUACCGAUGGCGAAGGCAGCCCCCUAGACUAUAACUGACGCUCAUGUGCGAAAGCGUGGGGAUCAAACAG
RNAcentral lists this ribosomal RNA (251 nucleotides) under uncultured prokaryote. RNAcentral describes it as "partial 16S rRNA". It matches the Rfam family "Bacterial small subunit ribosomal RNA", at positions 525 to 775 of the family's 1533-position model. The record is from RNAcentral.